GUGUUCACAUACUAUAAUAGCAUUACUGAAGCUUAGCUGUAGCAUCGCGCUGUCUCCCGGGAAUUCAGUUGGAGCAGGAAAAGGUAAACAGUAGUGUGCAGAUCGGAGCGUAGUGUGU
This is a long non-coding RNA of Sander lucioperca (pikeperch), 118 nucleotides long. RefSeq lists it as uncharacterized. NCBI's taxonomy places the organism in Eukaryota, Metazoa, Chordata, Actinopteri, Perciformes, Percidae. The record is from RefSeq and is a predicted model, not a curated record. The transcript has 3 exons.